GCCAAUAUAAAUUAUAAGGACUGGCUCAAAAACCUCAAGAUAGUCUUGACAUCAAAAAAGAUUGGGUAUGUGCUUUAUCAGGACAUCCUAACACUACCAGCCCAUCCUACGAUAGAGCAAAGAGUUGCUCUAGACAAGUGGACGGAUGAUGACCUAAGGGUAAAGUGCUAUAUGCUGGCUUCGAUGUCAAAUGAGUUAUAGAGUUAACAUGAGCACAUGCCCACUAUCCAUGCCAUGAUCACUCAUCUGUAAGAGUUAUACGAUGAGCAGAGCCAGACCGCACAUUUUGAAUUGUCCA
RNAcentral lists this long non-coding RNA (298 nucleotides) under Elaeis guineensis (African oil palm). Its description in RNAcentral is "long non-coding RNA (EGUI_LNC079127)". The record is from RNAcentral. Lineage: Eukaryota; Viridiplantae; Streptophyta; Magnoliopsida; Arecales; Arecaceae.